RNAcentral lists this transfer RNA (71 nucleotides) under Loxodonta africana (African savanna elephant). It matches the Rfam family "tRNA". From Rfam's summary of the family: Transfer RNA (tRNA) molecules are approximately 80 nucleotides in length. Lineage: Eukaryota; Metazoa; Chordata; Mammalia; Proboscidea; Elephantidae. The record is from Rfam by way of RNAcentral.
GCAGUGGUUGUUCAGUGGUAGAAUUCCCAACUUCGAUGUCGGAGACCUGGAUUUGAUUUCUGGCCCGUGCA